This 611-nucleotide long non-coding RNA is filed under the name Ananas comosus (pineapple). RNAcentral's name for it is "long non-coding RNA (ACOM_LNC005806)". Lineage: Eukaryota; Viridiplantae; Streptophyta; Magnoliopsida; Poales; Bromeliaceae. The record is from RNAcentral.
GUUUUCCACUGUUAGAUUUAACUCUUUAUUUGUUUUUACCAGUUAGAUUAUACUAUUCAAUCAACCACCCACUCAACCCUAGGAGGCCCACAUCAUCCUAACCGCACAAUUUCAAUCCAAGGACUAAAAAACUAAUAGCGCUAUUAUAUAUAUAUAUAUAUAGAAUUAGGCUGGAAUACUAUUAAUAGUAAAACGUGCUUUUUGCUAUCAAAUUUUUAACCCUUGGAUGAAAAAUUAUAGGGUCAGGAUGAUAUUAGUUGGUUAGAGAUAUAUAUAUAUAUAUAUAUAUAUAUAUAUAUAUAUAUAGUUGGACUGGGCUAUUAUUAGUAGCAAAAUCUCAUUGUUGCUAUCAGUUUUUUAGCCUUUGGAUCAACUCUUUUUAUUAUUUCUAACCAUUGGAUUAAAUACUAUAACCCAGUGGGGACCACUCAACCCUAGGGGGACCACUCAACUCUAACCAACUAAUAUCAUCCUGACCCUACAAUUUUUCAUCCAAGGGUUAAAAACUUGAUAGCAAAAAAAGUGUUUUACUAUUAAUAAUAUUCCAGCCUAAUUAUAUAUAUAUAUAUGUUUAAUUAUAUUAUUGAGCUCCUAUGCUUCUAAAUCACCAA